Molecule: ribosomal RNA, 490 nt
Filed under: uncultured bacterium
Lineage: Bacteria
Description: partial 16S ribosomal RNA
Rfam family: Bacterial small subunit ribosomal RNA
Source: RNAcentral
AUUGAACGCUGGCGGCAGGCCUAACACAUGCAAGUCGAACGGUAACAGGAAACAGCUUGCUGUUUCGCUGACGAGUGGCGGACGGGUGAGUAAUGUCUGGGAAACUGCCUGAUGGAGGGGGAUAACCACUGGAAACGGUAGCUAAUACCGCAUAACGUCGCAAGACCAAAGAGGGGGACCCUCGGGCCUCUUGCCAUCGGAUGUGCCCAGAUGGGAUUAGCUUGUUGGUGGGGUAACGGCUCACCAAGGCGACGAUCCCUAGCUGGUCUGAGAGGAUGACCAGCCACACUGGAACUGAGACACGGUCCAGACUCCUACGGGAGGCAGCAGUGGGGAAUAUUGCACAAUGGGCGCAAGCCUGAUGCAGCCAUGCCGCGUGUAUGAAGAAGGCCUUCGGGUUGUAAAGUACUUUCAGCGGGGAGGAAGGGAGUAAAGUUAAUACCUUUGCUCAUUGACGUUACCCGCAGAAGAAGCACCGGCUAACUCCGUG